RNAcentral lists this small RNA (3130 nucleotides) under Rattus norvegicus (Norway rat). Its description in RNAcentral is "uncharacterized LOC108350663". Lineage: Eukaryota; Metazoa; Chordata; Mammalia; Rodentia; Muridae. The record is from RNAcentral.
ACCAAAGAACUCAUGGUUUGACUUAGGAAAUGCCAAGAUGAGAGCAUAACAUACACCCAGUUUGUUACAACAGCACUAACCACUGCCUUCUUCUCUGAACAGGAGUUUCAGCAAUUGUUAUCUUGAUUUUGUUUCUGUGUUGAUCAGUGGGUUCUGGAGAAUUGGGAGUAUAGACCAUGAGGAGACACAACCAAACCCAGGAUUUGUUCAUGUCUCUGUGAGGGUCUAGACUUGGGGCUGGGAGCAGAGCUUACAGUGACUGUGAGUAACUCUAAUUUUUAGUGAGGACCAGUAGCAUCAUUUUUGCCAGGGAUUUUUUUAAUAAUAUGGGAGAGGGUGUAAAAUGAAAUGUGUGUCUCAAGCAGACAGAACCUAAAAUUCAGCAGAGGGAAGCAGGUUGUUGUUCCUGUUUUGUUUUUUUUUUAUUUUUUUUGUUUGUUUGCUAUCUUGUGUUUCCACUUCUGAUAGUCUGUCCUUGUGGGCUUCUUCAAUCAACACUCUGUGGCUGUAAAGCUGUCCAUCGGCUCUUCUUUGCUCAUUUCUUACAACUGGAGUGAUACUCCAGCCAGUCCAUCCCCUGCCCAGUCAGAUGUGCUGGUUUGAGUAUAAGACCGAAAUAGAAGCAAUUAGAACUUCCUUUGGAGUUACAGACAUUGUGAGUGAUUGGCUAGCUGGGAGCCUCUCCCUUGCUUGUUUAGAGAAUACCCAUUACAGUGGAAGGAAAUGAGGUCAAUAUACUGGUUGUUGUGACAGGGACCUGAAGGGAAGGAGAGAAACUGGAGUGUGACCUCCUUUGAGAUUCAGCUGAGCAUGAAGCCCUGCACACCCAAUCUCAUGAAGGAGUGAAUUCCCCCCUUCUAUUAAAUUAGUUUGCAUUGAGUUUCUACAACGUACCCCCCCAAAAAAAGAUAAGAUACCUUAACUCCUGUAACUACGUCUAAAAAGUCUUCAAAGCACAGAACUUCAUAUUCAUUGCCUAGAGGAACAGUAUAAUGUACUGAGCUUCCCUAAAUUGGUAAUGUAUAAUUUAAAGCGAAUUACAUGGGAUUUUCCUUGUAGCUAAGGAGGCUGAACCAUGUAACUAUGAGAGCUUUCACUCUCAACCUCUUAAGUACGUGACAACUGAGAAUCUAGCUAAAGGCUUCAGGGUGAUACGUAACUGCUCCACAAGAAAACUGAAAUCUUCAUUUUGAAAUAGAAACCUAUUUUAAUAACUUUCUGUAGGUAUAGAAAUUGCUAUUUUAUAUGAAAUGCCAUUAAAAUGAAAAAAUACAGGAAGGAGAGGUAUAUAAUGAUGAUUAGUGAGUUGUUAACAUUGUAUUUAAAAGGGUCUAAUAUUAUGCUACCAGACAUAUAAGAUGAGUGUUAGGAGGCAAGCUACAAAAUGUUUCCAAUACACAUGCCACAUGUAGCAGAGAUUACACAAACCAACCCAGUACUGUUUCUCCUUCCUGGAAGGCACAGAGUGCACAAAUUUACCAUUUGUUUAUUUCUGACUCUACUAGCCACGAUUCUCUGAAUGGACAAAUAAUUUCAGAAUGGUCAAUAUUUAAAACGUGACAGUUAACGAGAGAAAGUACUCACUUGGAUUCAGAAUGACUAUAUAAGAUUUUUUUUCAAACAAUAUGGAAAAUAGGUCUUGAGGAACAAAUGUAUAGAGAGGAGGGAGAAAUGCAGAAGACACAGCAGAACACUACGAUGGAGACCAUGAUGGAAAAGUGAAAAUCCUGGCUCUAUGCAGAAGAGGAAGGAGAAAGAUGUUAAAGUCUGGAUGUGGUGAAUGACUCCAAGGAAACAGUGCUUUCCACAUGCAGCGAGGCUGACGAGCAUGUGAACUCCGAGACUGUGACAGCUUGCGUGAGACCUGCACAAGGUCAAAAAUUGUUGCACAAAGAAGAAGUAGCCACAAAGUCUGACCCCCGAACCAAGAAGCUGUUUGUAAUUGACAUGCUGAGGUUGCCUAAGCUGGUCUUCAAAUCCUGGACUCAAGGGAUCCUUCCAUCUCACCUUCCUAAAGAGGACGGAGAAGGAACUCAUGCCAUAGUCCACAGGUAUGUUUCCUCUACUUUCAUAUGUUCGAAAUUUUACACUUCCAAGCUAUUAGCAACAAAAACGUGGGGGAAUGAAUUCAGGUAAAUAGCCAUUAGAAUUCACAAGAAAGAAGAGAAACUAUUAGGGCCAAGGACCUGCAGGAAAAGUGGGAGCUUGAAGGACUGGGUUGGGGUUGAAAGUCUUCUCUUGUUGAGGCAUUCAAAUAGGUACAGUGUCGAGAGAAGAGGAAACAACGGACAUCAUAGGUGAUUCAGGGCUCAGAAAGAGCGGUGUUAUACUGACGUCAUAUUCAAGAAGUGAGGACAGUGAGCGAGUGCUGUCUGUGGAAAGCCUGAAAAGUGGUAGGAACUGACUAGAGAAUUCCACGAGCCAGAAGCCCAGCUCCUCAUCAAAACAGAAAAGUGAUGUGGAAAAGGCAAGGAGGCAGAUGAUAACUUGUCCAGACCACUAGGACAGGCACCACCUCCAGAUUAUAUCCCUUUGUUAUCAGCCAUUCCCACAAGGUUUUGACAAUGUUAGGUCUCUAGGAUACCUUAGAGAAACCAUUCUGCAAGACUGUUUGUCAAGUGUUGCCAUAAAGUUGCCUACAGGUUGAUACCAUGUGCUUCAUUGGUUUUAGGUGUUUGUUUGUUUGUUUUUGUAUGUUUGUUGCUUUCUUCAAAGUUGUAAGUGAAAAACAAUGAUAAGAGACAUCUUAUUACUAAGUUAUUGGCCUUAGUUACACUGAGGUUAAGGACCAGUGUGUCAUCCCUUCUAGUCUUUAGAGAUUAGAAAUAGCAAAGAAAAAUGUUGCCAUUUUUCCAAAGCUAUAUUUUGCCUUGGCUUACAAAAAGUCUUCAAACAUUUUGGUGUGAUUUCCCUUUCUUAUCAAUCAAUUAUUUUAUUUAUUAUUACAUCCCAAACGUUGUCCCCUUCAGGUCACACCUGGAAGAGUUCUUUCCUUCAUGCCCCCAAAGUUUUUUUUUUUUUUUCAUUUCAUGUAUGUGAGUUGGUCUGCAUGUGUACUAUGUAUGUGCAGUGCCUGAGGAAGCCAGAAGAGGUGUCAGAGGCCCUGGAACUGGAGUUACAGAUGGUUGUG